AAGGAAUAUUGCUCAAUGGAAGAAAUCCUGAAGCAGCAACGCCGCGUGGAGGAUGAAGGGUCUAUGACUUGUAAACUCCUGUAAAGAAGGAAAAAAUUCCCAUUAGAUGGGAGAUGAUGGUACUUCUGGAGUAAGCCCCGGCUAACUACGUGCCAGCAGCCGCGGUAAUACGUAGGGGGCAAGCGUUGUCCGGAUUUACUGGGUGUAAAGGGUGCUCAGGCGGAUUUGUAAGUCAGAGGUGAAAUCUUACAGCUUAACUGUGAAACUGCCUUUGAUACUGCAAGCCUAGAGUAUGGAAGAGAGUGAUGGAAUAUCUGGUGUAGCAGUGAAAUGCGUAGAUAUCAGAUAGAACACCAAUGACGAAGGCAGUCACUUGGUCCAUUACUGACGCUAAAGCACGAAAGCGUGGGUAGCAAACA
This 419-nucleotide ribosomal RNA is filed under the name uncultured bacterium. RNAcentral describes it as "bacterial SSU rRNA". It matches the Rfam family "Bacterial small subunit ribosomal RNA", at positions 356 to 774 of the family's 1533-position model. The record is from RNAcentral.